UAUACCACACCCCACAAAUGUUGCUUAUGUUUCCUUGGUCAUUCUGUCCAUCCUCCUGUCUGUCCAAAGCCAAGGACACUGCUCUACUCUAAAUUUUUUGUCCCGAAGCCCCCAAAUACUGCAACCCUGACCCAAUGCACGAAGCCACCCCAAAAUACAGCAGAGGACACCAGGACUUUCAUUUUCCCUCAGUAUGGCCCAUCCUUUGGGUAUGCCAACUCCAUGUCCACCAAGCACUGCAUGUAGGACAGGGCACAGUUUGGAGGCCUUGGUCCAGCCACUGCCCCAGACCCACCUUGGCUCUCUCCUCACUAACACCCGAGAAGCCCAGACUUCCCAGUGUUUAGCAACAGAUUAAACUCUAAGCCAACAACAACAGAACAGGGUGGAGUGAGUGGAAAGCAAAUGAAAUGUUAAAAAAAAAAAAAAAGCAAUACUUGCAUUCUCAUUAGUAGGAACAUGUGAGAUGAAGCAUGUUAUGUUAUUAGGCAUUCUCUUGAUUCGGUAAACACAAGCUGAAUAAAUUUAUAAAUAUCAGCAUUAAGCGAGAUUUAACGGGGAGCUGUUUAUCUUCUGCCUGUCAGGCAGGCGGCAACACUCUCCAUGUAUCACUCGCCAGCCGUGCAGUCCUCACUCUCUUGCCCAGGUAAGCUGGGGAAGAGCCUGCUGCCGCCCAGCUCUGGUUGUGGAAGGGCUGGCACCAAGGAGCUGCGAGCUUACCUCAACUCAUCUCACCUCACCAUGCCGGCUGCGAGGCGGCCCGUGCAGUCCGUGCGCAGGAGGUCACACUCCCAUGCUGCAUCCCAGCCCCUCCAGAAGCAGAGCAUGACCUGGGUGACUUUGAGGAUGCUAUUUAACCUCUCUAAGCUAAAGCUCCUCGACUGCAGCAUCAACAGAUCAGUGCCGACCUGUUAAGGCCGUCGAGAGCAUCAAAUGCUACUGUUCAGCAGGUGCCUGACACAUAGUAGGUCCACAAGCAAAUGAUUUUCCUGCUUGCAUCAUUUCUAGCACAGAGCUGGAGGAAAUGGCGAGGUGCAGGUGGCCGCUGGGCCCUGCUGUUCUACAUGGGAGCAAGACAGCUGCUAGGUGAAGGGGAAUGACCAGGCAGCCACAGGGAGGACAUGUGGCCUCAGGAAGCCUGGGUGUGUAUCCUGGUUCUGCUAGGAACACGUGUGGGGCUUUGUGUGGGUGACUCUCUGGCUCCCCAAGCCUCCCUUUCCUACUGUUAUAUCCUUAAAGUGCCUCUGAGGCCAAAGCCUUUGUGGCAAUUGUCAAAUGAGUCCAUAUGCAGUGAGUACCGUGUUGAGGGAGGACAAGGUCACCAAGAGCUGAGAAUGUUUCUCCGACUGAUGAGACCUAGAUAUUGGGUACAUGGAGGUCCCCGGUCCCUUUGUGAUUCCUGCAGCCUGUUGCCUCCUUGCCUGGACCCCGCCUCAGCUCAGAAAGCCAAUUCCCUAGAUUCCAAAGGCCUUCCCAGACCAAUUAGCAUGUCCUGCAGCUGUCAGCUCCCUGUGCCUAGCCUGGACCUCAGCUCAUGUCUAGCACCCAGUCUCCCAACCCCACACAUAUUCACAAAUAAAAGAAAAUAAC
RNAcentral lists this long non-coding RNA (1590 nucleotides) under Homo sapiens (human). RNAcentral describes it as "non-protein coding lnc-KCNIP3-4:1". The record is from RNAcentral. Lineage: Eukaryota; Metazoa; Chordata; Mammalia; Primates; Hominidae.